UGGGGAAUAUUGGACAAUGGGCGAAAGCCUGAUCCAGCCAUGCCGCGUGUGUGAAGAAGGUCUUCGGAUUGUAAAGCACUUUAAGUUGGGAGGAAGGGCAGUAAGCGAAUACCUUGCUGUUUUGACGUUACCGACAGAAUAAGCACCGGCUAACUCUGUGCCAGCAGCCGCGGUAAUACAGAGGGUGCGAGCGUUAAUCGGAUUUACUGGGCGUAAAGCGUGCGUAGGCGGCUAAUUGAGUCGGAUGUGAAAUCCCCGAGCUUAACUUGGGAAUUGCAUUCGAUACUAGUUAGCUAGAGUGUGGGAGAGGAUGGUAGAAUUCCAGGUGUAGCGGUGAAAUGCGUAGAGAUCUGGAGGAAUACCGAUGGCGAAGGCAGCCAUCUGGCCUAACACUGACGCUGAGGUACGAAAGCAUGGGGAGCAAACAGG
This 429-nucleotide ribosomal RNA is filed under the name Pseudomonadota bacterium. Its description in RNAcentral is "Proteobacteria bacterium partial 16S ribosomal RNA". It matches the Rfam family "Bacterial small subunit ribosomal RNA", at positions 355 to 776 of the family's 1533-position model. The record is from RNAcentral. Lineage: Bacteria; Pseudomonadati; Pseudomonadota.